UGGGGAAUUUUGGACAAUGGGCGAAAGUCUGAUAACAGCGACGCCGCGUGAAGGACGAAGGUCUUCGGAUCGUAAACUUCUUUUUCAGGGGAAGAAAGCGCGCAAGAGUUUGACGGUACUCUGUGAAUAAUCCCCGGCUAACUACCUGCGCCCAACCCCGGGCAUGAAGCCGUAGAAAAA
Molecule: ribosomal RNA, 180 nt
Filed under: uncultured bacterium
Lineage: Bacteria
Description: partial 16S ribosomal RNA
Rfam family: Bacterial small subunit ribosomal RNA
Source: RNAcentral